Ornithorhynchus anatinus (platypus) is the source of this 1796-nucleotide long non-coding RNA. RefSeq lists it as uncharacterized. Lineage: Eukaryota; Metazoa; Chordata; Mammalia; Monotremata; Ornithorhynchidae. The record is from RefSeq and is a predicted model, not a curated record. The transcript is spliced from 3 exons.
ACAUUGUAUGUACCCUAGUGCUUAAAACAGUGCUUGUCACUUAGCAAAUACCAUAAUUAUUAUAAUGUAGUAAGCCCAUAGGAAGCUAUUUUCAGAGUGACUGUUUUUUGAUCCCGCAAAUUCUCCAAGGAACUAGGCUGCUCUUCUCCAGGACGGAUCACUGUAAAGGCGGUCUGUGGGGUGGAGCAUGAAGGGAAAAGUGGCCCUCCCUCCCAGUUCUACCCAGGAACGGGCUUGGACCAAUCAACAACUGCCACGUGGAGCCUCUAAGAUGCCCAAGUUUGCCAAGCAGCAGCUGUAAAUACCAAAUGGAAAUGAUGAAGCUCUAGGAUGGUCAGGUCCACUCAUACAGAAUUUCUGCUUACCUCAGUAGAACUCUUCUCACUGAGACAUUUGAGUAGAGUGAAUAACAGAAGGAUACCCAAAGAGCUACUGCAGACAUGCCUGGGAAGUUCUAGUCUGAAUCAGUGACUGGCAAGCAAUCGUAGAAAUUUUGGCCCGAAACUCCCACUGAAACUUGGAGAUUUUUAAAGAUCCCAGCUCUUCAAACAUUCUCUCACAAGAUUCUUUCAACUGCGCUUUCUUUCUGGGACUCUGGAGAGCAUAAGCUGCUGGAAAUCUAAUCAUCUCUCAGUUACUAAUGUACUGUGUGAUCUGGGAUGAGGCACUUAACCUCUCCGAAUUUCCCUGUCCUCAUUGAAGAGGAGGAUAACAAUGCUACUCCCUCCCAGAUGACGAGAGGAACGAUUAGGAAAAAAUAAGCCCUAAACUGAUGAAAAAUGGGGUAUUCCCUGAAACUAGGUGCUGGCCCUUCCUGAUCCCAAGUGCUUUGCCGAAUUAUGGGGCAUUUUAUAUAAAAUUGAGUCCCUCAUGAAUUGGGUCUGAGUGUGUAGUUUUGCUGAAGACAAAGCAUUUUUGUUUUCCUGCAGAAUGAUUGUCCUGAGUGAUAGCCAUGAAUACAUCUUCUUUACUUCCAAUCCUUGCUGGCUUUUCCCCAACCCUAUAGCAUCCCCUAAUUGAAGUUUUAUUAGGUAGGGACAUCUUUAUUGCUGCUAGACAGAGAGGGCUCUCUGGUUGGGUAGAGAAUAGCUUGAACUGCUCCACUAAGGAUUAUGUUGAGGUGUUUUAUUAUCUGUGUCCCAAGCUUCUCUCCUCCUGCUGCCCAUGUGCUGAUGGGACUGAUGACUUGUGACCCUAACUUGUGCAAGCAUUCUCCCUCUCCUUCCUCUCUCUCUGUUUCUCUCUCUCCUCUCUCUCCCUCCCCUGUCCCCCAAACUGAUGGCACUAAGGAGGCAGCUGUCAGGGGCAGAAUUUGAAAUUUUUGCUUCACUUCUGAUUCAUUUAUCAACUCCCCUUCAUGGCAAAGAUAUGGAAAGUCCUGUUAUUGCACUUCCCAAAUCCCCUCCCCAUACCAAAUGCCACCUAUGGAAACUGCUAGAGUAGUAGUCAUAACAGUCACAGUAGUAUCAUUAAUGGUAUUUAUUGAGGGCUUACUACGUGAAGAGCACUGUACUAAGCACUUGGGAGAGUACAGUACAACAGAGUUGGGGGACAUGUUCCCUGCCCACAAUGAGCUGUCUAGAGGAUAAAUUUACAGUCUGGAGGAUGGGUUUAUGAGUACCUAGUGGGUGCCAUGUCCUCAACUAUGCACUUGGGAAGUACAAAACAAGGUGCCAAUGAAGAGGUUACAUUCUAAUGGGGGAAGCGCUGUCGGAGUACUUAAUUGGCUUGUCCCCUCCUAUCUCACCUCACUACUUUCCUUCUACAACCCAACCUGCACACUUCGUUCUUCUAAU